UCUUGAAGGUAAAUUGACCAGGGUACUAUGAAUUAAUUAAAUUUAAAACUCAAAGGACUUGGCGGUGUCUUAGACCACUUAGGGGAACCUGUCUCGUAAUCGACAAUCCACGUUAUACCUGACCUUUUUUUGUUAUCAGUUUGUAUACCGUUGUCGUCAGGUAACUUUUUAGAAAGAUGAAGUUAGCAAUAUAAAUAUUAUUUGAUACGUCAAAUCAAGGUGCAGCUAAUAAAAAGGAGAGGAUGGGUUACAAUUAUUAUUUGUAAUUACGGAAGGAGGACUUGAAAGUAAAUUAGAGAUAUAUAAUUUGAAUAAGGCUCUGAGACGUGU
This 330-nucleotide ribosomal RNA is filed under the name Hastula strigilata. RNAcentral's name for it is "partial 12S ribosomal RNA". The record is from RNAcentral. Lineage: Eukaryota; Metazoa; Mollusca; Gastropoda; Neogastropoda; Terebridae.